UAAUUAUAAUAAAAAAUAUAUUAGUAAAUAAGUCGUUUAUAUAUAAUUUCAAUUAAAUGCACGGUAAUUAUUAAUAGUAUGUUCCUAGCGGCGUAUUGGCGGAUAGAAAAGGUAUAAUAAUAAACAAAUAAAAUACGCGUUAAUACCUUUCCUCGAAAUAAGAAAUAUUUUGCAAAUAAAAAUUAUAUAUUAACAAAUGUUAUUAUAAAUAAUAUUUCCCCCCGGAUUAGUGUAGCUCGCGGAUUUUUUUUAAGAAAGGUAAAACGUCCGGGUUAUUAUUAUAUUGAAAACAUUUUAAUUAUUAUAUUUGUUUGAAAAGAAUAAAUCCGGAAAAACCGCAGCCUUUUUAUAAGGCCGCUUUGAUUAUAUACUACGGGAAUUAUAAUGAAAAUUGCGGCGUUCAAUAGUAAAUAUAAUAAAUAGAAGUUAAGUUAAAAUUAACUUUCCGUUGGUUUAAUAAGAAAGAAUAUAACGGAAAUGCAAAGCAAAUGGGAUAAAGGUUAAAUAUUGCUAAAUAAAUUUAUUGAAAAUUGCUUUUUUAAAAUAAAAAAUAAUACCCAAAAGAAUAGUAUAGAAAACAAUUAGUAUUUCCCCGGUGUAUUUAUUUUUAAAUAAAAUCGGAAAUAAAUACGUUAUAAAAUUAGAAGAAUUAGACAAUUAAUACCCGUUAAUCGAUAAAAUAUAUACAAAAGAAGACAAAACGGAGGAAAUUACUUCCCCCAAUUAUAUUGCAAAGGACCAUUUAAUUGCUUAUAAAGUACUCCAAGCCGGAAUUGGUACCGAGGCGCUUUACCGGGGAAAUAUAUAUAAAUAUUUAAACGGUAAAUAAAAAUACAACCGCAAAAGAAUUGCAAGUAUAAUUGUAAAUAAUAUUACCCGAAAAUUUAAUUGUUUAUUUAAACAAAUUUUUAUUAAAUAAUAAAGAAAAGGAAUUCGAAAUAAAUAUAGUAAAAUUCUAAUAAUAAUUACCGGUUGCAAAAUUAUAAUUACAAAAAAGGAAAUUAUAUUAGUAUAACGCGAAAAAAGGAUUGUUAUAUUUAUAUUAGUAUGUUCGAAUUACAUAUUAAUCUUAUAGCCGGUAUUUAUUAUUACGAUUAUUUUAAUUAUAAUUUAUAUAUGGUUCUAAUAUUAUUCGUACGUAUCAGUUUAUUAAUUAUUCCGGCGUGGGCUUAUAAAUAGUAAAAUGUGUUAAGUUUGCGCUAUAUUAUUUUCUAGACUAGAACUAGCGGUCGGCAAAUGGGCAGGGCCCUGAAGUGGUUAUUUUUCUUUUGCUCUUUUAACCAUUAUAAUAAUCCAACUAAAUACCCAGUAUAAACCAGAUUUGAUACGUAUAUAAAACCAAGAAGCCGCUUUCAAUGGCAUAAUAUUAAAUAUUUAUAGCGAUAGUAAUAAUCGAAAUAUUAAAAAUAGUAUACAUUUGCGAUUUUUAUUAUUUGAAAUUCGAAUCAAAAAGCAAUAAAUAUAGGGUAAAGCCCAUUAAAUAAAGUAGGUUUUAAAUAAAGGUCGGGAUUUUAACCUGGGUUUGUAACAUAUUUGGUUAAUUUUGUACAAUGUUUCAAAAUAAAAACUUUCGAAACGCAUACAAAAUUAGAACUUGAUUUAUAAUAUUUCUGGUUAAUAAAUAAAAAAUAAAAAAAACAUCUUACGGGUAGUAAAAGAAUAAAACAAAACUACACAUUCUUUCUGGAUUUAUAUUUAAAAUCCUUUGCAUUUAAAUAUGUUUUUUAAAGAAUCCCCAUAGUUAAAAUUUUACUAGUAAAAUCCUUGAAUAAAUGUUUAAAUAUAAUGGACUUUGCAAUUAAAAUUAAAAGAAAUAUGUAAUUGUACUUUUAUUUUUUUAUUAUUCGUAGGAUUCUUUUUCAGUUUUUAAUUUAUUAAGCAAAAAUAUUAUAAUUUAAAUUUUAAUUUAAUAUGCGUUUUUAUAAUUUUUAUUUUAAAAAAUGGUAUAAAAUUAACCGAAUAUAUUAUAAGCCCAAUUUAAAACCCCAAAAAUUAUUUUACGUUAAGUUUACUUAACGAGUUUUACCCUAUAUAUAUCGCGGUUUAAUUCGAAUUUUAAAUAAUAAAAAUAGCAAAGAUAUAUUAUUUUUAAUAUUUCGAUUAUUAUAACCGUUAUAAAUAUAUUCAUAUUAUAUAAUUUAAAAGCGGCCGCUUGGUUUUAUUUAUAUACGUACCAAAUUUGGAUUAUAUCGGGUAUUUAAUUCGAUUGUUAUAA
RNAcentral lists this small RNA (2215 nucleotides) under Pyricularia oryzae. RNAcentral's name for it is "Magnaporthe oryzae sRNA M_BR32_EuGene_00111791". Lineage: Eukaryota; Fungi; Ascomycota; Sordariomycetes; Magnaporthales; Pyriculariaceae. The record is from RNAcentral.